MicroRNA precursor from Gorilla gorilla gorilla (western lowland gorilla), 86 nucleotides. Lineage: Eukaryota; Metazoa; Chordata; Mammalia; Primates; Hominidae. The record is from Ensembl.
CAGCAAUGCAGAAAGUACAGAUUGGAUGGGUUCAAUAGAUUGCUUUAGCUGAAGCAAGCCUUCCCAUUGUACAUAUCUCAUUGUCU